GUGCCAGCCGCCGCGGUAAUACGGAGGAUGCAAGCGUUAUCCGGAUUGAUUGGGCGUAAAGCGUCUGUAGGUGGUUACGCUAGUCGGCUGUUAAAGAUCAGGGCUGAACCCUGAGCAAGCAGUCGAAACUGCGUGGCUGGAGUACGGUAGGGGCAGAGGGAAUUCCCGGUGUAGCGGUGAAAUGCGUAGAUAUCGGGAAGAACACCAAAGGCGAAAGCGCUCUGCUGGGCCGAAACUGACACUGAGAGACGAAAGCUAGGGGAGCGAAUGGGAUUAGAUACCCCCGUAGUCC
RNAcentral lists this ribosomal RNA (292 nucleotides) under uncultured bacterium. RNAcentral's name for it is "partial 16S ribosomal RNA". It matches the Rfam family "Bacterial small subunit ribosomal RNA", at positions 505 to 796 of the family's 1533-position model. The record is from RNAcentral.